RNAcentral lists this unclassified non-coding RNA (3979 nucleotides) under Hevea brasiliensis (rubber tree). Lineage: Eukaryota; Viridiplantae; Streptophyta; Magnoliopsida; Malpighiales; Euphorbiaceae. The record is from RNAcentral.
GGGACAACUAGGUUAUCAUGACCUUCCUUUGACAUAGUUGACUUAUUUAAUUAGCAUUCAUAUAAAUUUUAUGUGUAUUAAAUAUUAAUAAAACUUACAUAAUUAAUAGCUCCUAAAGUUCGAUGAGACCGCCAAAUGGAAGUUUGUACAUUUUUAGUGGAAAUUCUAGAAUAGUUUUAUUAUAUUUUUUUCGAUGAAUUGUGAAAGUCCCAGACAAAAAGUAUAAGCCUUAGGCCAAGCGUUGGCUUUCAACAAUAUUAAUAAUUGGUUUCCACUUCCAAUAUUCCCCAACAACAGAUUUCUUUUACAAGAAAAUUCAAUACUUGAGAUCCCACAUCUCCUAAAGCCUGCAGUGUCACUCCAUGCUUCAAAAACUUUCAAUCACAAGUUAACAACGUUUUCUCCAUACUGGAAUGGAAAUUUUUAAUUGAUCUUUAGAAAACUUAAGCAUACCAAAGCACAUCGCAUGGAUAAAAAAGGAGACAAAAAGGCUAAAAUAGUUUGUCAAAAUGAACAACUAAGCUAAUGCAGUGCAGACCAAGUAUGAAGAACAGAGGUGCCAAAUCUGCAUGUGAAAGUAGGAAACAACAAUGUGUAACCUAAAUCUCAUAAUAUCAGCAUAAAUCUAAAUGAUAAAAAAAGUCUACCAGCAUAAAUCUCAUAAUAUCAACUUCCCUGACGUAGUCCUGCUCAGAAGGCCUUCUCACGAGUACAAAGUAACAGUUUCCAUAUCCCCCUUCCCAUCGCAUUUCUAUCAAACUAAAUGCAAACCAGAUUUUUCAAGCACUUCUUUUCUCUUAAAGUGUGUUUGGUAUUGUAAAUUGACAUAGUAAGGACUGGUCAUCAGCGGAGAGAUGAUGGAUGAGAUGUUUUGGUUAGACAAAGUUAAACCAGCUAGCAAAUUCAGUUAACAGAAGCUUAUGUAGACACAACAUCAGUUUGAAAGCUUGCUCAGUCUGGGACUGGGUAACUGAACCAUGAGCACCCUUACACUCAAGGAUACCACAAAUUUGUAAUAUUCUGAAUUUCUGAUGAUUAUACUUUUGCUCAAUAUCAGCAAAAGCAAAGCAUCAACCUAUGCUGACAAACUAUUCACUCUCCUGCAGCAAGCCCAGUUCAGCCUUAUGAACAAAACCAGUAUAAAAAUUUUGCUCAUUCAACAAUCAAUCAAUGCAGUUAAAUGAAGAAGAAACAUAUAUGGCAGAAAUUAAAUGUACAUUGGAACAAAAAGGCAAGACACAAUCAGGAUACCAACUAAAAAACUCAUCUUGACCAAAGCUAAUGAGAAAUAUCAUAAUUUUGUCAUUUAUCCCUCCGACACAUCAUUUCAUUUACAUAAAUUCCUCAAUUGGCCUCCAAGGAAACCUCUGGCCAACUAUUUAACGAAAAAAAAGAAAAAAAAGAUGAUGACAAGACUUAGAAGACCAAAAGUUAUCAAUGGACAUUAAAUUUGGAUCACAGAUUAGAGUAAAGUAUCACUCACAAUAUAUAAUCUGAAAUGUCUAUUGUGAAAACUAUGCACCAAAGCAUUUGAUCAACUCAUCAUCAAGUAAGAAUUCUUCAAUUUCAAAAUGAUAUGGACUGGGGAGGGGUCCAUAUUCUGAUGACAAGCUAUGUAGAGGAGGUGGAGACCCAAAAGGUCUAUGAAAAUCUCCUCUGAUGAUCUCAUCACCAUCCGUAUGUAGUGCUGGUACAUUGCCUCCAUCAUCCUGUGGUCUGAUAUGAGUUGCAUCCAAUGUCAUUUGAGACUGCUGUGCAUCAUGCGCAGGCCCAUAGUCAACCGUUGGAUUAUAGAUAUCAUAAGCAGCACCAUGAUGCGACUCUGAAUUUUUUAAGACACGUAGAAGCAUGGAGCUUCCAUCCACAUGCAUGCCCCCCAUAGAAUCAACAUUGGCAGCGGGAAUGGCAGAAAAGUAGAUAAAUUCAGAUGGGGGUAGAUUGGGUCCACUUUCAAAACGUUUCUGCAAAGGCCUCAAACUAGUAGUAGUAUCACUUUCCUGUUCACUGCCAUUCAUCUGAUAUUCCAUUGCUGAUAAAUCAGCAGUAUUCAUAUCAGGCACACACUCCUCAGCAAAUGAAUGCUUAUUAAGAAGUGGUCCAGAUUGUUGAUCAGCAUUGCUAGAUUCUCCACGAGGCUUUUUAGUCAGUUGCCUUUCCCCUUGCUCUUUAUCUUGGAUAGCAUGGGGAUUGUCAUUUCGAACAAUGCUUAAUGGCUCCGCUACCAUUGCUGUAGUGCUCCUGUUAUCUUUUGAUGAAACACAACCAGCAACAUCAGCAGCAGCAUCAACAUCAUAAUCACUGUCACUACUAAUGUCAUGUCGCUUCCUUCCACGACACCCGCCUUUAGGCAUUUCAGUUAUGCCAGAAGUGCCAUUAUCACUGCUAGGCUGUUGAAUGAGGGAUUCUUCUCGACUCAAGACACUCAACCAAAUAGCACUCUCCUUUGCAGUCAUCUUGUCCUGUAAGCAUUUUGACGAGCGGACAUGCCUCCGGAUUUUUGCAAUAUCAGGUGACAUGUGCUUUAUUACAGCUGUUAAUACCCCAACUUUCCACAUCUUUUUUAAAUCAUGGGGUUUCUUAUAAGGAGGACUCUGACCUUGGGGUAGCCCUAACUUUAACCACCAUUCUUCAUUUCCAGUUGGCCACCAAGGUGGCGGAACUCUUUUCUCCAAAGGAUACUUCCUUUGAGGGGGAUCACAGUGCUGCAUUAAAGAAGACAAGAGAGAUCCCAAAGUUGCAUCUUGCAGGUCUUGAAGAAUGCUUUGGGAUUUUUUAUUUCGAUUUUUGUUUGCCUCGCCCAGGGCCAAACACUCAGCUUCAUACUUUGCUAUGGCUGCUGGCCCAUUCUUAUCAAACUUUACCUUUUCUUUCCACCAAGCUCUUAUAUUAUCAGAGGAACCACUUACUGGCUUACCCUUCUCAGGAAUGAUCCCAUACACAAAUCCACGUGCUUUGCACACUUCCAUUAGUUUCAACAUAUACUUGAGAAUUCCAUCUUGGGCUCUUGACAUUUUCUUUCUUUGUGCCUGAUCAGAGUUGUGCUUGAGCUUCUGCUCCUCUGCAGCUUGUUGGGCUUCAAAUUUAUGUCUUUCCUUAAUCCUUUUGAGCUUGAUCUGAUCCUUCCACAUUCGCCUCUCCAACUCUUCCGUUUCAAUUUCUUCAUCACUAACAUCUUUCUCUGGAAUGUUGUCACACCUUAUGUCGUCAACUUCAAUAUCCGAACUGUCAGCCAAUGAAUGAGCAAACAUCAGACAGGGCGCUAAGAAUAAAGAUACAAUUGUCCACCAUCUUCUUACCCAGAAAAUAUAAUCGGUCUCUACAGGAUAAGGGGAUGGGGAGGACUUGCAUUCGUCUAAUAUUCUCACCAAAACCAUCUAGUUAUAUUAUGUUCAAAGCAUGGAGAAUUUAGAAUUCUCUGGUACGAAAAGGCCAAGCAUCCGAUACUGAAAAUAAUGUUCAUUUAAUAAAUUUUGUCAGCAACCCAAAUAAUUAUAACCAAAUUCUGACGAAUAAAAGCCAUCACUUACUAAAUCAAAAUCCAUCUUCCUCACAAUCCCAGAUCAGAUAAUACCAAUAAUUUCCUCCAAAAGAAUCUAUAUCGAAGCAAACAAAAAUUAUAUACAAUAGCCACUGCUAUUUUGCAUCGCAAAACAACUAACUUCUAAAAAGAAUGACCCAAAAAUACAAGUUUUGUGAAUUUACAAAGAUAUAAACCAACUGUGAAUGAAAUUGCUAUCGGUGGAACAAAAUCGAACUUUUUGGGCAAAUAAUGAAAUGAUUAAGAAAAAUGGAAAGUGGUACCUGAUAUCAGCUCCAAUCUCUUCCAAUUCACCCAUCAAACUCUACACAAAAAGGAAAUUGAGCGUGAAAAAAAAAAAUGAAACCCUACAACUUGGGAAAUGAAUUUGCUGCGUUAUAAUAGAAGAUGACAAUACGUAUCGAUACUCCUCAAGGAGAGAUACGAUAAUCCAGAAAAAGG